GUCUGUGAAAUUCCGGGGNUUAACUCCGGGCGUGCAGGCGAUACGGGCACGACUAGAGUGCUGUAGGGGUAACUGGAAUUCCUGGUGUAGCGGUGAAAUGCGCAGAUAUCAGGAGGAACACCGAUGGCGAAGGCAGGUUACUGGNCAGUUACUGACGCUGAGGAGCGAAAGCAUGGGGAGCGAACAGGAUUAGAUACCCUGGUAGUCCAUGCUGUAAACGGUGGGCGCUAGGUGUGGGCUGUGUGUUUGCAGUCUGUGCCGUAGCUAACGCAUUAAGCGCCCCGCCUGGGGAGUACGGCCGCAAGGCUAAAACUCAAAGGAAUUGACGGGGGCCCGCACAAGCGGCGGAGCAUGUGGAUUAAUUCGAUGCAACGCGAAGAACCUUACCUGGGUUUGACAUGCACCAGAUCGGCGUAGAGAUACGUCCUCCCUUGUGGUUGGUGCACAGGUGGUGCAUGGUUGUCGUCAGCUCGUGUCGUGAGAUGUUGGGUUAAGUCCCGCAACGAGCGCAACCCUUGUCUUAUGUUGCCAGCACAUUUUUGGUGGGGACUCAUGAGAAACUGCCGGGGUCAACUCGGAGGAAGGUGGGGAUGACGUCAAAUCAUCAUGCCCUUUAUACCCAGGGCUUCACACAUGCUACAAUGGUCGGUACAACGGGUUGCGACACUGUGAAGUGAAGCUAAUCUCUUAAAGCCGGCCUCAGUUCGGAUUGGGGUCUGCAACUCGACCCCAUG
This 734-nucleotide ribosomal RNA is filed under the name uncultured bacterium. RNAcentral's name for it is "bacterial SSU rRNA". It matches the Rfam family "Bacterial small subunit ribosomal RNA", at positions 590 to 1322 of the family's 1533-position model. The record is from RNAcentral.